This 253-nucleotide ribosomal RNA is filed under the name uncultured bacterium. RNAcentral describes it as "partial 16S ribosomal RNA". It matches the Rfam family "Bacterial small subunit ribosomal RNA", at positions 524 to 776 of the family's 1533-position model. The record is from RNAcentral.
UACGUAGGGGGCAAGCGUUGUCCGGAUUUACUGGGCGUAAAGAGCGUGUAGGCGGCCAAACAGGUCCGUUGUGAAAACUGGAGGCUCAACUUCCAGACGUCGACGGAAACCGUGUGGCUAGAGCCCGGAAGAGGAGAGUGGAAUUCCUGGUGUAGCGGUGAAAUGCGCAGAUAUCAGGAAGAACACCAAUGGCGAAGGCAGCUCUCUGGGACGGUACUGACGCUGAGACGCGAAAGCGUGGGGAGCGAACAGG